RNAcentral lists this ribosomal RNA (323 nucleotides) under uncultured bacterium. RNAcentral's name for it is "bacterial SSU rRNA". It matches the Rfam family "Bacterial small subunit ribosomal RNA", at positions 28 to 329 of the family's 1533-position model. The record is from RNAcentral.
GACGAACGCUGGCGGCGUGCUUAACACAUGCAAGUCGAACGAGACGAUUUAGAAGCUUGCUUUUAUUGAGUCGAGUGGCAAACGGGUGAGUAACGCGUAGACAACCUGCCGUAAAGAUGGGGACAACAGUUCGAAAGGACUGCUAAUACCGAAUGUUGUAGAGUUUCCGCAUGGGAAUCCUACUAAAGAUGGCCUCUACUUGUAAGCUAUCGCUUUACGAUGGGUCUGCGUCUGAUUAGCUAGUUGUGGGGCAACGGCCUACCAAGGCGACGAUCAGUAGCCGGUCUGAGAGGAUGAACGGCCACAUUGGAACUGAGACACGG